Molecule: ribosomal RNA, 468 nt
Filed under: uncultured bacterium
Lineage: Bacteria
Description: partial 16S ribosomal RNA
Rfam family: Bacterial small subunit ribosomal RNA
Source: RNAcentral
GACGAACGCUGGCGGCGUGCUUAACACAUGCAAGUCGAACGGAAAGGCCCUGUUCUUGUGGGGUGCUCGAGUGGCGAACGGGUGAGUAACACGUGAGUAACCUGUCCUUGACUUCGGGAUAACUCAUGGAAACUGGGGCUAAUACCGGAUAGGAGUUCUUGCUGCAUGGUGGGGGAUGGAAAGUUUCGGCGGUUUGGGAUGGACUCGCGGCUUAUCAUCUUGUUGGUGAGGUAGUGGCUUACCAAGGCGUUGACGGGUAGCCGGCCUGGGAGGGUGACCGGCCACAUUGGGACUGAGGUACGGCCCGGACGCCUACGGGAGGCAGCAGUGGGAGAUAGUGCACGAUGGGCGGAAGCCUGAUGGAGGAACGCCGCGUGCGAGAUGACGGCCUUCGGGUUGGAAACCGCUUUCGCCUGUGACGAAGCGUGAGUGACGGUAAUGGGUAAGGAAGCACCGGCUAACUACGUG